AUACGGAGGGUGCAAGCGUUAAUCGGAAUUACUGGGCGUAAAGCGUACGUAGGCGGUUAUUUAAGUCAGAUGUGAAAGCCCCGGGCUUAACUUGGGAACUGCAUUUGAAACUGGGUAACUAGAGUUUAGUAGAGGGGAGUGGAAUUUCAGGUGUAGCGGUGAAAUGCGUAGAGAUCUGGAGGAACACCAGUGGCGAAGGCGACUCCCUGGACUAAAACUGACGCUGAGGUACGAAAGCGUGGGUAGCAAACAGGAUUAGAAACCCCGGUAGUCC
Molecule: ribosomal RNA, 274 nt
Filed under: uncultured bacterium
Lineage: Bacteria
Description: partial 16S ribosomal RNA
Rfam family: Bacterial small subunit ribosomal RNA
Source: RNAcentral